GGGGUAAGGCUCACCAAGCCGACGAUCUGUAGCUGGUCUGAGAGGACGACCAGCCACACUGGGACUGAGACACGGCCCAGACUCCUACGGGAGGCAGCAGUGGGGAAUUUUGGACAAUGGGCGCAAGCCUGAUCCAGCAAUGCCGCGUGCAGGAAGAAGGCCUUCGGGUUGUAAACUGCUUUUGUACGGAGCGAAAGGCUUUCUCUAAUACAGGAAGCUGAUGACGGUACCGUAAGAAUAGCACCGGCUAACUACGUGCCAGCAGCCGCGGUAUACGUAGGUGCAGCGUUAAUCGGAAUUACUGGGCGUAAGCGUGCGCAGGCGGUUUGUAGACAGGCGUGAAUCCCGGGCUCACUGGAAUGCGCUUGUGACUGCAAAGCUGGAGUGCGGCAGAGGGAUGGAUUCCGCGUGUAGCAGUG
This 419-nucleotide ribosomal RNA is filed under the name Aquaspirillum sp. Rud13. RNAcentral describes it as "bacterial SSU rRNA". It matches the Rfam family "Bacterial small subunit ribosomal RNA", at positions 254 to 683 of the family's 1533-position model. Lineage: Bacteria; Pseudomonadati; Pseudomonadota; Betaproteobacteria; Neisseriales; Aquaspirillaceae. The record is from RNAcentral.